CCUACAAAACAAAGUCAAGUUAGUUCAUAAACAUCAACCAAACUCAAUUCAAAUUGCCUUGAAGCAAUCUCCUUAAGCAUUGUGCAUUUCAUCAUGAAAAUCCAAACCAAAUGUGAGAAACUAGACCACUAGGCCAAGCCUAGGGUCCAAAGGGGGUAAGAAGUUCUAAACAGCAAGUGCAAACCAAUCAAAAUCACAUUAAAACAAAUCAAAAGCAAAUGCAAUUGGUCCCAUGCUCAUACCAUUCACCAUUAUCAUUUCAUGCACAAUUUAACAUCAAUCAUGCAAUUUGCAACUUCAA
Molecule: long non-coding RNA, 301 nt
Filed under: Lathyrus oleraceus (garden pea)
Lineage: Eukaryota; Viridiplantae; Streptophyta; Magnoliopsida; Fabales; Fabaceae
Description: Pisum sativum (pea) long non-coding RNA (PSAT_LNC020920)
Source: RNAcentral